Molecule: non-coding RNA, 352 nt
Organism: Cinara cedri
Lineage: Eukaryota; Metazoa; Arthropoda; Insecta; Hemiptera; Aphididae
Source: the annotation of a GenBank genome assembly
GGAACUUUAAUUAUUAUUAUAAUUGGAUCAAGUGCUUAUGCUAAUAGCACAAACCACAAAACUUUUGUUUAUUCUCUAAAGCAACAAGUGGAUGAUAUACUCGUGAGAGAAAAUCAAGAAGAUCGUCAUAAAAAACUUCAAGAGAUUAUCCGAGAUAAUGUUGACUUAAAAAGGAUAUCACGAUUCGUCAUGGGAAAAUAUUGGGCCCUAACUACGGAAGAAAAAAGACAAGAGUUUAUAAACGAACAUGAAACAUAUUUUACGCGAUUAUGUAUUAAAAUCUUACCUAGUUAUAUAGGCGGUGGUGAAAUGAAGAUAAUGGGUGUCAAAGAAUUUGGUGAUGGAGUUUAUA